GACAGAUGGAGGGGGAAACCCGAUCAGCCCCCCGCGUGUGCGAGGAAGGCCCCCGGGCCGAAAGCACCCCCGGCAGGAAAGAAAUCGCACAAACCAACACCCCGUGCGGAUGACGGCACCCGCAGAAUAAGCACCGGCUAACCACGCGCCAGCAGCCGCGGUAACACGCAGGGUGCAAGCGCUAAUCGGAACCACUGGGCGCAAAGCGUGCGCAGGCGGUUCGGAAAGAAAGGUGUGAAAUCCCAGGGCCUAACCUCGGAACCGCACCCCUAACCCCCGAGCUAGAGCAUGUCAGGGGGGGGCGGAAUCCCGCGCGUAGCAGUGAAAUGCGUAGAUAUGCGGAGGAACACCGAUGGCGAAGGCAGCCCCCUGGGAUGAUACUGACGCUCAUGCACGAAA
Molecule: ribosomal RNA, 399 nt
Filed under: uncultured bacterium
Lineage: Bacteria
Description: partial 16S ribosomal RNA
Rfam family: Bacterial small subunit ribosomal RNA
Source: RNAcentral